UGCCACAUGGUCUUGGGUUGUGACUUGGGU
RNAcentral lists this non-coding RNA (30 nucleotides) under Homo sapiens (human). Lineage: Eukaryota; Metazoa; Chordata; Mammalia; Primates; Hominidae. The record is from RNAcentral.